Molecule: ribosomal RNA, 253 nt
Filed under: uncultured bacterium
Lineage: Bacteria
Also listed under: 1 other name
Description: partial 16S ribosomal RNA
Rfam family: Bacterial small subunit ribosomal RNA
Source: RNAcentral
UACGGAGGAUCCAAGCGUUAUCCGGAUUCAUUGGGUUUAAAGGGUGCGUAGGUGGAAUGGUAAGUCAGUGGUGAAAUCCUGCGGCUUAACUGCAGAACUGCCAUUGAUACUGCCAAUCUUGAGUACAUAUGAAGUGGGCGGAAUGUGUCAUGUAGCGGUGAAAUGCUUAGAUAUGACACAGAACACCGAUUGCGAAGGCAGCUCACUAAACUGUAACUGACACUGAGGCACGAAAGCGUGGGGAUCAAACAGG